Acanthosepion pharaonis is the source of this 112-nucleotide non-coding RNA. NCBI's taxonomy places the organism in Eukaryota, Metazoa, Mollusca, Cephalopoda, Sepiida, Sepiidae. The record is from the annotation of a GenBank genome assembly.
UAUGGCCACAUCCCUUUGAAAUACCAGUUCCCAUAUGAUCACCGAAGUUAAGCAAUGCUGAGCCUAGUCAGUACCUCAAUGGAUGACAACUUGGAAAUACCAGGUGCUGUAA